Molecule: long non-coding RNA, 609 nt
Filed under: Mytilus galloprovincialis (Mediterranean mussel)
Lineage: Eukaryota; Metazoa; Mollusca; Bivalvia; Mytilida; Mytilidae
Source: RNAcentral
CUCUGAAACUACAAGUACAAUCGACCUCAAAAUUUGCAGUCAGCAGGGCAUACAUGUACUAAAGGUUUAUAAAAAAACUUGGUGCAGAUAUCUCUCAAGAGCUUUUCCUAGAGAAAAGAAAUGGCAAUGCCGUAAAAAUCGCUUGCUAGGUCCGUAAAUCUCAGUAAAAACCUACAAUAAAAUGUCCGCUCCGAGAUUGAAAUACUAAUCUGUGUUACAAACAGGUGCUGAAAAAUGUACAUUAUCAGAAAAUAAUCAAUAAAUGUGUUUUAAAGUUACACCGGAUCAAUUAAAUCCAAAACAUGCACGGCCCGUGAACUGUGAUGAAAAUGUCAAUUUCCUACAAUGACAAAAGAAAUUACAUUGUGUACAUUCCGUCUCUAUACAUGUUGUCUGUUCAACAUCCCGACCUAAAGAGAAAUAAAAAUACUAAGUUUUCGUUAUUAUAAACCCAAGUCACGUGAUGUCUCCUAAAUCUGGCGCGCGCGCUGUACCUAAAAUAAAAUAAAAACUUUCCAAACUAAACAUGAAACUUCUCCGGUAACAAUAAUAUAGACCCCAUACAGAAACAAACAAACAAACAAACAAAAAAACUCAAAUGACCCCCCC